Molecule: long non-coding RNA, 218 nt
Filed under: Mytilus galloprovincialis (Mediterranean mussel)
Lineage: Eukaryota; Metazoa; Mollusca; Bivalvia; Mytilida; Mytilidae
Source: RNAcentral
GGCGUAACUCCUAGAAAAAAAAUUGAAUCGCAAUUUCCCGUCUAUAUGCACAACUACAUAGUAUGUCCUUAUUAUCUGAAAAGGUUUCGUGAAAUUAUGUUGUGUGGUUUGAGAGGAGUUGCGAUGACAAACUGUUGCAGUAGUACAUUAAAGUAAAUAAGUUCAAAGGGGUGUAACUCCUAGAAAAAAAAUGAAUCGCAAUUUCCCGUCGAUAUGCA